GAUAAGUGCAGACGUCGUGGUUCUUCGAGAGGCACUUUCUUUCGAAGCUAAGAGGGAAGCCGGUGUAACGCCGGCGCUGCCCCCGCAACUGUAAGCGGUGAGCCACCGUUCAACUUCAGCCACUGAAGCGAAAGCUUUGGGAAGGCCGGACGGUAGCUGAGACCCGUGAGCCAGGAGACCUGCCUCGACAACAUACACGUC
Molecule: non-coding RNA, 201 nt
Filed under: Bradyrhizobium sp.
Lineage: Bacteria; Pseudomonadati; Pseudomonadota; Alphaproteobacteria; Hyphomicrobiales; Nitrobacteraceae
Also listed under: 1 other name
Source: RNAcentral